Molecule: transfer RNA, 72 nt
Filed under: Toxocara canis (dog roundworm)
Lineage: Eukaryota; Metazoa; Nematoda; Chromadorea; Rhabditida; Toxocaridae
Rfam family: tRNA
About the family: Transfer RNA (tRNA) molecules are approximately 80 nucleotides in length. Their secondary structure includes four short double-helical elements and three loops (D, anti-codon, and T loops). Further hydrogen bonds mediate the characteristic L-shaped molecular structure. tRNAs have two regions of fundamental functional importance: the anti-codon, which is responsible for specific mRNA codon recognition, and the 3' end, to which the tRNAs corresponding amino acid is attached (by aminoacyl-tRNA synthetases). tRNAs cope with the degeneracy of the genetic code in two manners: having more than one tRNA (with a specific anti-codon) for a particular amino acid; and 'wobble' base-pairing, i.e. permitting non-standard base-pairing at the 3rd anti-codon position.
Source: Rfam by way of RNAcentral
UGGGCGGUAGCUCAGUGGUAGGGAUCCCGCUUCGUGUGCGGGAAGACCUGGGUUCGAUUCCCGGCUGAUUAC